RNAcentral lists this ribosomal RNA (254 nucleotides) under uncultured prokaryote. RNAcentral describes it as "partial 16S ribosomal RNA". It matches the Rfam family "Bacterial small subunit ribosomal RNA", at positions 525 to 777 of the family's 1533-position model. The record is from RNAcentral.
ACGGAGGAUCCAAGCGUUAUCCGGAAUUACUGGGCGUAAAGAGUUGCGUAGGUGGCAGAGUAAGUAGAUAGUGAAAGCGUGUGGCUCAACCAUACAUCCAUUAUCUAAACUGCUAAGCUAGAGGAUGAGAGAGGUUAUUGGAAUUCCCAGUGUAGGAGUGAAAUCCGUAGAUAUUGGGAGGAACACCGAUGGCGUAGGCAGAUAACUGGCUCAUUCCUGACACUAAGGCACGAAAGCGUGGGGAGCAAACGGGA